ACGGGAGGCAGCAGUCGGGAAUAUUGCACAAUGGAGGAAACUCUGAUGCAGUGACGCCGCGUACAGGAAGAAGGUCUUUGGAUUGUAAACUGUUGUCGAGAGGGAAGAAAAAAGACAGUACCUCUGGAGGAAGCUCCGGCAAACUACGUGCCAGCAGCCGCGGUAAUACGUAGGGAGCGAGCGUUAUCCGGAUUUAUUGGGUGUAAAGGGCGCGUAGACGGUAUAGCAAGUUGGUUGUGAAAUCCCGAGGCUCAACUUCGGAACUGCAACCAAAACUGCUUAACUUGAGUGUGGGAGAGGAAAGCGGAAUUCCUAGUGGAGCGGUGAAAUGCGUAGAUAUUAGGAGGAACACCAGUGGCGAAGGCGGCUUUCUGGACCAUAACUGACGUUGAGGCGCGAAAGUGUGGGGAGCAAACAGGAUUAGAUACCCUGGUA
RNAcentral lists this ribosomal RNA (435 nucleotides) under uncultured Oscillospiraceae bacterium. Its description in RNAcentral is "bacterial SSU rRNA". It matches the Rfam family "Bacterial small subunit ribosomal RNA", at positions 341 to 792 of the family's 1533-position model. The record is from RNAcentral. Lineage: Bacteria; Bacillati; Bacillota; Clostridia; Eubacteriales; Oscillospiraceae.